AUCCAACUGACGAAUCCUAAAUGGGACGAAACACAAAUCCUGGAU
Molecule: non-coding RNA, 45 nt
Filed under: Schistosoma mansoni
Lineage: Eukaryota; Metazoa; Platyhelminthes; Trematoda; Strigeidida; Schistosomatidae
Source: RNAcentral